This 345-nucleotide long non-coding RNA is filed under the name Pelobates cultripes (western spadefoot toad). Lineage: Eukaryota; Metazoa; Chordata; Amphibia; Anura; Pelobatidae. The record is from RNAcentral.
GUUUAUGAUGGACCCGACCAAACUAAAAUCGAUUUUAGAUUGGCCUUUACCUAAGGGACUCAAAGCCAUACAAAGAUUUCUUGGAUUUUCUAAUUAUUACAGACGUUUUAUUAAAGGGUACUCCUCUGUUAUCGCUCCUAUCACUAAUAUGACCAAACAGGGAGCCGAUACCAAAACCUGGUCUACUGAGGCUUUAUCUGCUUUCGAAACGCUCAAACAGUCUUUUGCCUCAACACCUGUAUUAGUUCAUCCUGAUACCUCUCUACCCUUUUUACUUGAAGUUGAUGCGUCUGAAACAGGGAUAGGUGCAGUGUUGUCCCAAAGACAAAGUUUAGAUAAGCCGCU